UUUACUUACUUAAAUUCUUAGUGGCGAACGGGUGAGUAACGCGUGGGUAACCUGUCCUAAUGACCGGAAUAACAGUUGGAAACGACUGCUAAUGCCGGAUGAACUCCUGGAAAGGCAUCUUUCAAGGAGGAAAGCUGGCCUCUGAAUAUGCUAGCGCAAAAGGGUGGACCCGCGUCUGAUUAGCUGGUUGGUGGGGUAGAGGCCUACCAAGGCGACGAUCAGUAGCCGGCCUGAGAGGGUAAACGGCCACACUGGGACUGAGACACGGCCCAGACUCCUACGGGAGGCAGCAGUGGGGAAUCUUCCGCAAUGGACGAAAGUCUGACGGAGCAACGCCGCGUGUAUGAAGAAGGCCUUCGGGUUGUAAAGUACUGUUGUCAGGGACGAACCGUAUAUGUGUAAAUAAUGCGUAUCCUGACGGUCCUGACGAGGAAGCCCCGGCUACUACGUGCCAGCAGCCGCGGUAUACGUAGGGGGAAGCGUUGUCCGGAAUUAUUGGGCGUAAAGGGCGCGUAUGCGGCUGUUAAGUCUGAUUGAAAGUGCGGGGCUUACCCCGUAAGCAUUGGAACUGUACGGCUUGAGGACAGGAGAGAAAGUGGAUUCCACGUGUAGCGCUGAAUGCGUAAUAUGUGGAGGAACACAGUGGCAAAGGGACUUUCUGGAUGUAUCUGACGCUGAGGCGCGAAAGCGUGGGGAGCGAACAGGAUUAGAUACCCUGGUAGUCCACGCCGUAAACGAUGAGUGCUAGGUGUAGAGGGUAUCGACGCCUUCUGUGCCGCAAUAAACACUAUAAGCACUCCGCCUGGAGAGUACGGCCGCAAGGAUGAAACUCAUAGGAUUUGACGAGGCGCCAGCACAAGCUGCUGGAGCAUGUAGGUUUAAUUCGACGCUACCGCGAAGAAUCUUACGCAGGCUUGACAUCCUACGUAUCCCGAAGAGAUUUGGGAGUGCCCUUCUCGGGAAGUUAGAACUAGGUGUGCAUGGUUGUCGUCAGCUCAUG
RNAcentral lists this ribosomal RNA (1000 nucleotides) under uncultured bacterium. RNAcentral's name for it is "bacterial SSU rRNA". It matches the Rfam family "Bacterial small subunit ribosomal RNA", at positions 74 to 1064 of the family's 1533-position model. The record is from RNAcentral.